CCGAACCCGAAUGGGUACCCGAACGCCCACCCCUAUAAAAUACUAUUGUGUCAGGCAAAAUCUUACGAAGAGAUUUUGUAAUAUUUUAUUCUCUGCGUGCAAGAUUGUUCCAAGAUAUUACAAUACCAUUUAACUUUUAUUAUACUUUUUGAAUUCCAAAAUAGGUUCAUAUUUUUCUCUUUCAUCUCUCCAAAUAAACUCUCUGUUCCGUAAUUCUCUUUCUCUCCAAAGAACGUGCAACAGAAUCACAUUUCCUCUCUUCAGCUCCCAUCUAUGCAACUCGCCGAUCGUUGAGUUUAAGUUCAAGAACGCUCUUGUUUUAGUGACGACAAGGUCUGAGGUUUGGUUCCUUCUGUAUUAAGCCGGUUAGAUCGUCUUUCUUUGGCUGGGAACAAUCUCUCUGGUACGAUUCUGUUCGAGCUGUCUCGUUUUGGAGAAGAUAAUUUUGUCGCAAAUAACGGUCUUGCGAUUAAAUUGCGGAGGAUGUUGGGUUUUGAUGGUGGUUAUGAUUAAAGUGCUUAUGGUGGAAGAAGCUGUUAGAUGUUACUCUUGUUGGAUAGACAUUUACAUUAUUGUCGAGACAAUACAAACUUUAACCAUAUAUUAUUUUACGUAGAUGUUAAAGACAGUUGAAAGAACCUGUACAUAGACGGAAAUCAUUUUAUUUACACGGGUUAUAAAUAAGUAAAUUGUAACGUAAGUUGUGUUAGACGGCUACAAUAAUUUUUGAUGCAUCGUCACAAACCAAAAAUAAUAGACAGUUAUAUAAUUUAUUAGUCAAGAUACUUAAUAUUUUAUCUCAAGUAACCCAUUUUCUAAAAAUGUAAGUAUUAUAUUAGCUGUCCAACAAUUUGAUAUGCACCAAUGAACAAAUAUGCCUAAACAUUAUUUGUAUGUUCAUUUCAUAUGAUAUAGCUAUGAUCUUGAUUCUUAUGGUACCUAAGAAUGUGAUAUACAUAAUUCAAACAUGUUUUAUCCCAAAUAACUUGUUUGUUAACCAUGUAAAUAUU
Long non-coding RNA from Brassica napus (rape), 1010 nucleotides. RefSeq lists it as uncharacterized. The transcript has 2 exons. The record is from RefSeq and is a predicted model, not a curated record. NCBI's taxonomy places the organism in Eukaryota, Viridiplantae, Streptophyta, Magnoliopsida, Brassicales, Brassicaceae.